GUGGUACAGGAACAAGKGCUGGGCAAGACCGGUGCCAGCCGCCGCGGUAAUACCGGCAGCACGAGUGAUGGCCGAUCUUAUUGGGCCUAAAGCGUCCGUAGCCGGCCGARCAAGUUCGUCGGGAAAUCYGCCCGCUUAACGGGCRGGCGUCCGGCGRAAACUGUUCGGCUUGGGGCCGGAAGACCCGAGGGGUACGUCCGGGGUAGGAGUGAAAUCCCGUAAUCCUGGACGGACCACCGGUGGCGAAAGCGCCUCGGGAARACGGACCCGACGGUGAGGGACGAAAGCUAGGGUCUCGAACCGGAUUAGAUACCCGGGUAGUCCUAGCCGUAAACGAUGCUCGCUAGGUGUGGCGCAGGCUACGAGCCUGCGCUGUGCCGUAGGGAAGCCGUGAAGCGAGCCGCCUGGGAAGUAC
This 415-nucleotide ribosomal RNA is filed under the name uncultured Halorientalis sp. Its description in RNAcentral is "bacterial SSU rRNA". It matches the Rfam family "Archaeal small subunit ribosomal RNA", at positions 424 to 838 of the family's 1478-position model. Lineage: Archaea; Methanobacteriati; Methanobacteriota; Halobacteria; Halobacteriales; Haloarculaceae. The record is from RNAcentral.